UGCCCUAGUAACGGCGAGUGAAGCGGCACAGCUCAAUUUGAAAGCUGGCUCCGGCCCGCAUUGUAAUUUGCAGAGGAUGCUUUUGGCGAGGUGCCUUCCGAGUUCCCUGGAACGGGACGCCAUAGAGGGUGAGAGCCCCGUAUGGAUGGACACCAAACCUGUGUAAAGCUCCUUCAACGAGUCGAGUAGUUUGGGAAUGCUGCUCUAAAUGGGAGGUAAAUCUCUUCUAAAGCUAAAUACCGGCCAGAGACCGAUAGCGCACAAGUAGAGUGAUCGAAAGAUGAAAAGCACCUUGAAAAGGGGGUUAAACAGUACGUGAAAUUGUUGAAAGGGAAGCAUUUAUGACCAGACUUGCGCCGGGCAGCUCAUCAGGGGUUCUCCCCUGUGCACUCUGCCCGGCUCAGGCCAGCAUCGGUUCUCGUGGGAGGAUAAGAACAGUGGGAACGUGGCCCCCCUCCGGGGGGGUGUUAUAGCCCAUUGUACGAUACUCUCGUGGGGACCGAGGUUCGCGCUCCGCAAGGAUGCUGGCGUAAUGGUCAUCAAUGACCCGUCUUGAAACACGGACCAAGGAGUCGUCCAUUAGAGCGAGCGUUUGGGUGUAAAACCCGCACGCGUAAUGAAAGUGAACGCAGGUGAGAGCUUCGGCGCAUCAUCGACCGAUCCUGAUGUCUUCGGAUGGAUUUGAGUAAGAGUUUUAACGGACGGACCCGAAAGACAGUGAACUAUGCUUGUAUAGGGUGAAGCCAGAGGAAACUCUGGUGGAGGCUCGCAGCGGUUCUGACGUGCAAAUCGAUCGUCAAAUAUGAGCAUGGGGGCGAAAGACUAAUCGAACUGUCUAGUAGCUGGUUACCGCCGAAGUUUCCCUCAGGAUAGCAGUGUUGUUCUUCAGUUUUAUGAGGUAAAGCGAAUGAUUAGGGACUCGGGGGCGCUUAUUAGCCUUCAUCCAUUCUCAAACUUUAAAUAUGUAAGAAGCCCUUGUUACUUAAUUGAACGUGGGCAUUCGAAUGUACCAACACUAGUGGGCCAUUUUUGGUAAGCAGAACUGGCGAUGCGGGAUGAACCGAACGCGGGGUUAAGGCGCCAGAGUGUACGCUCAUCAGACACCACAAAAGGCGUUAGUACAUCUUGACAGCAGGACGGUGGCCAUGGAAGUCGGAAUCCGCUAAGGACUGUGUAACAACUCACCUGCCGAAUGUACUAGCCCUGAAAAUGGAUGGCGCUCAAGCGUACCGCCCAUACCCCGCCCUCAGGGUAGAAACGAUGCCCUGAGGAGUAGGCGGCCGUGGGGGUCAGUGACGAAGCCUA
RNAcentral lists this ribosomal RNA (1305 nucleotides) under Cytospora sorbicola. RNAcentral's name for it is "partial large subunit ribosomal RNA". It matches the Rfam family "Eukaryotic large subunit ribosomal RNA", at positions 76 to 1412 of the family's 3401-position model. Lineage: Eukaryota; Fungi; Ascomycota; Sordariomycetes; Diaporthales; Cytosporaceae. The record is from RNAcentral.